UAAUAAUUUUUAAAAAAAAUUGAUAGGCCAAAUAAUUUUUUCAAAUUUUUAUGGCCAAUUUGCAUAAAAAAUUCACUAGUUUUGCGCUUUUGCAAAUGUGGGCCACAUUUUUCGAUUUUGCAGAUUCGGACCGGAGUUUUAGUAAACUGACCAAAAUACCCUUCGUCUACAUCCGCCGCUCGCGUAUUCUUUGAGAUACGUAUACCCUACCAUACGGUCCAGGCGGGUAUUAAAUGCGCCCCUUGCGCUUUACGCAAUCUCGGCUCUUUUUCGAAACCCAGACCAAAUUCGCCCCGUUAUUCGCCAGUUCCGCUGUUUGCUGUUCAGCUUUAAGAAUUUAAAUACUCUGAAGCUAAAAGAUAAGAACUACGUGGCCCGCAACAGGGGUAAUAGUGCAACG
This 400-nucleotide long non-coding RNA is filed under the name Ananas comosus (pineapple). RNAcentral describes it as "long non-coding RNA (ACOM_LNC033324)". The record is from RNAcentral. Lineage: Eukaryota; Viridiplantae; Streptophyta; Magnoliopsida; Poales; Bromeliaceae.